This is a long non-coding RNA of Chanos chanos (milkfish), 214 nucleotides long. RefSeq lists it as uncharacterized. The record is from RefSeq and is a predicted model, not a curated record. Lineage: Eukaryota; Metazoa; Chordata; Actinopteri; Gonorynchiformes; Chanidae. The transcript is spliced from 3 exons.
UUUAGUGGAAGGCAUCAGAGGCUCCAGCAAUCUGUCAGACAUGGCUUUGGAUGACGUCGCAAUAACAUUCGGGGAAUGUAAAGGCUCAACGAGCACAGAUGUGCCAUCAACUCUUAUACCACUGGUAACCAACGGAAGUCCCUCUGUUUGCAACUUCGGCUGCAACUUUGAUGAGGACCUCUGUGCCUGGAGUCAGACGAUGACUGACAGUUUU